GACGAACGCUGGCGGCGUGCUUAACAUAUGCAAGUCGAACGGUAAGGCCCUUCGGGGUACACGAGUGGCGAACGGGUGAGUAACACGUGGGUGAUCUGCCCUGCACUUCGGGAUAAGCCUGGGAAACUGGGUCUAAUACCGGAUAGGACCACUGCCUGCAUGGGUGGUGGUGGAAAGCUUUUGCGGUGUGGGAUGGGCCCGCGGCCUAUCAGCUUGUUGGUGGGGUGAUGGCCUACCAAGGCGACGACGGGUAGCCGGCCUGAGAGGGUGACCGGCCACACUGGGACUGAGAUACGGCCAGACUCCUACGGGAGGCAGCAGUGGGGAAUAUUGCACAAUGGGCGCAAGCCUGAUGCAGCGACGCCGCGUGAGGGAUGACGGCCUUCGGGUUGUAAACCUCUUUCAGCAGCGACGAAGCGCAAGUGACGGUAGGUGCAGAAGAAGGACCGGCCAACUACGUGCCAGCCGCCGCAGUAA
This 477-nucleotide ribosomal RNA is filed under the name uncultured bacterium. RNAcentral's name for it is "partial 16S ribosomal RNA". It matches the Rfam family "Bacterial small subunit ribosomal RNA", at positions 28 to 523 of the family's 1533-position model. The record is from RNAcentral.